GUGGAGGAGCAUGAGUUGAUGGACUAGCAUUACUAAUUGGAGGCUCUCAUAGAGUCUCCAUGUUAAUCCUCAUGAGACGCACAAAAGAAAGGAUAAAUGUUAGAAACUCUCAUAAUAAUAAAAAAAAUAACUAAUAAUUAAUUUGCUGAACUCUAAUCAUUGUCGUUAAUAAUAUCCAUUGGAACUAUUUUGUUUUCUAUGAAAUUAUUCACAUAUGUCAUUAUAAAAAGAAUACAUAAAGUAACCCCUAAAUCUGCAUCUAAGUUACCCAUUGUACCUCUGCACUUUGGAAUAUAAUUGAAUGUAACCCCUAACUGGCAUAUAAAUUACUCAUCUCUGUUAUUAUAAAAGAUAACUAAAAAGAACCCCUAAACCCGCAUCUAGUGAAGAUAAUAUAAAAAUGAUCCCUAAAUUUGCUUUAAAAUUACCUACCUUCAUCAUUAUGAAAACCUCCAUCAUUAAGAAAAAAUAAUAUAAAUUAACUCAUUUAGUUUGCAUCUAAACUCUUAAGUUAUACCAUUAUAAAAAUAAAUUAAAAUAUUCUCAAACUCUAUAACUAAAUUACCAAUAUAAACUAUCAAGGAACGAAUUGAAUAACAAAAAAAAGAUGUUAUAUGUGUUUCUAAAUUAACCACUCCCUACGGGACAGAGAGGCUUUGCCGAGUGUCUCUAGCACUCGGCAAAGGUCUAAAUACAUUCGGCAAAGCCUUUGCCG
Molecule: long non-coding RNA, 715 nt
Filed under: Sorghum bicolor (sorghum)
Lineage: Eukaryota; Viridiplantae; Streptophyta; Magnoliopsida; Poales; Poaceae
Description: long non-coding RNA (SBIC_LNC007123)
Source: RNAcentral